RNAcentral lists this ribosomal RNA (164 nucleotides) under Solanum lasiocarpum. RNAcentral describes it as "5.8S ribosomal RNA". It matches the Rfam family "5.8S ribosomal RNA". Rfam says of the family: 5.8S ribosomal RNA (5.8S rRNA) is a component of the large subunit of the eukaryotic ribosome. It is transcribed by RNA polymerase I as part of the 45S precursor that also contains 18S and 28S rRNA. Functionally, it is thought that 5.8S rRNA may be involved in ribosome translocation. Lineage: Eukaryota; Viridiplantae; Streptophyta; Magnoliopsida; Solanales; Solanaceae. The record is from RNAcentral.
AAAAAAACUCUCGGUAACAGAUAUCUCAGCUCUCGCAUCGAUGAAGAANGNAGCGAAAUACGAUACUUGGUGUGAAUUGCAGAAUCCCGUGAACCAUCGAGUCUUUNAACGCGAGUUGCGCCUGGAGCUAUUAGGCCGAGGGCACGUCUGCCUGGGCAUCAUGC